RNAcentral lists this ribosomal RNA (253 nucleotides) under uncultured bacterium. RNAcentral describes it as "partial 16S ribosomal RNA". It matches the Rfam family "Bacterial small subunit ribosomal RNA", at positions 524 to 776 of the family's 1533-position model. The record is from RNAcentral.
UACAGAGGUCCCGAGCGUUGUUCGGAUUCACUGGGCGUAAAGGGUGCGUAGGUGGUGGGGUAAGUCUCGUGUGAAAGCUCGCAGCUUAACUGCGAAACGUCACGGGAUACUAUUCCGCUGGAGGCUUGGAGGGGGGACUGGAAUACUUGGUGUAGCAGUGAAAUGCGUAGAUAUCAAGUGGAACACCAGUGGCGAAGGCGAGUCCCUGGACAAGACCUGACACUGAGGCACGAAAGCCAGGGGAGCAAACAGG